UGGCAUUGGAGAGCAACAUGACAUGGGGA
RNAcentral lists this non-coding RNA (29 nucleotides) under Mus musculus (house mouse). Lineage: Eukaryota; Metazoa; Chordata; Mammalia; Rodentia; Muridae. The record is from RNAcentral.